Molecule: ribosomal RNA, 497 nt
Filed under: uncultured bacterium
Lineage: Bacteria
Description: partial 16S ribosomal RNA
Rfam family: Bacterial small subunit ribosomal RNA
Source: RNAcentral
GAUGAACGCUGGCGGCGUGCCUAAUACAUGCAAGUCGAGCGAACAGGCGAGGAGCUUGCUCCUCUGACGUUAGCGGCGGACGGGUGAGUAACACGUGGAUAACCUACCUAUAAGACUGGGAUAACUUCGGGAAACCGGAGCUAAUACCGGAUAAUAUAUUGAACCGCAUGGUUCAAUAGUGAAAGACGGUUUUGCUGUCACUUGUAGAUGGAUCCGCGCCGCAUUAGCUAGUUGGUAAGGUAACGGCUUACCAAGGCAACGAUGCGUAGCCGACCUGAGAGGGUGAUCGGCCACACUGGAACUGAGACACGGUCCAGACUCCUACGGGAGGCAGCAGUAGGGAAUCUUCCGCAAAGGGCGAAAGCCUGACGGAGCAACGCCGCGUGAGUGAUGAAGGUCUUCGGAUCGUAAAACUCUGUUAUUAGGGAAGAACAAAUGUGUAAGUAACUAUGCACGUCUUGACGGUACCUAAUCAGAAAGCCACGGCUAACUACGUG